CCUACGGGAGGCAGCAGUGGGGAAUAUUGGACAAUGGGGGCAACCCUGAUCCAGCCAUGCCGCGUGAGUGAUGACGGCCUUAGGGUUGUAAAGCUCUUUUCUCCGGGACGAUAAUGACGGUACCGGAGGAAUAAGCCCCGGCUAACUUCGUGCCAGCAGCCGCGGUAAUACGAAGGGGGCUAGCGUUGCUCGGAAUCACUGGGCGUAAAGGGCGCGUAGGCGGCUGACUUAGUCGAGGGUGAAAGCCCGUGGCUCAACCACGGAAUGGCCUUCGAUACUGGUUGGCUUGAGACCGGAAGAGGACAGCGGAACUGCGAGUGUAGAGGUGAAAUUCGUAGAUAUUCGCAAGAACACCAGUGGCGAAGGCGGCUGUCUGGUCCGGUUCUGACGCUGAGGCGCGAAAGCGUGGGGAGCAAACAGGAUUAGAUACCCUGGUAGUCCACGCUGUAAACGAUGAAUGCUAGCCGUUGGUCUGCAUGCAGGUCAGUGGCGCCGCUAACGCAUUAAGCAUUCCGCCUGGGGAGCGGUCGCAAGAUUAAACCUUAAGGAAUUGACGG
RNAcentral lists this ribosomal RNA (557 nucleotides) under uncultured bacterium. Its description in RNAcentral is "bacterial SSU rRNA". It matches the Rfam family "Bacterial small subunit ribosomal RNA", at positions 338 to 916 of the family's 1533-position model. The record is from RNAcentral.